Pelobates cultripes (western spadefoot toad) is the source of this 134-nucleotide non-coding RNA. The record is from the annotation of a GenBank genome assembly. NCBI's taxonomy places the organism in Eukaryota, Metazoa, Chordata, Amphibia, Anura, Pelobatidae.
UACACACAACCCCCUUCUACCCAUCGUUUUACUUCAUUUGUAUAAAAGGAGUUUUUAAAUAUAACAUAAAUUUAAACUUAAAACUCCUUUUAUAAAAAUGAAGUAAAACUAUAGGUAGAAGGGGGUUAUAUUUU